GCCUGGGUGGCUCAGCCGGUUGAGCAUCUGACUUCGGCUCAGGUCAUGAUCUCAUGGUUUGUGGGUUCGAGCUCCACUUUGGGCU
Molecule: transfer RNA, 85 nt
Filed under: Felis catus (domestic cat)
Lineage: Eukaryota; Metazoa; Chordata; Mammalia; Carnivora; Felidae
Rfam family: tRNA
About the family: Transfer RNA (tRNA) molecules are approximately 80 nucleotides in length. Their secondary structure includes four short double-helical elements and three loops (D, anti-codon, and T loops).
Source: Rfam by way of RNAcentral